RNAcentral lists this ribosomal RNA (1323 nucleotides) under Triticum aestivum (bread wheat). RNAcentral's name for it is "partial small subunit ribosomal RNA". The record is from RNAcentral. Lineage: Eukaryota; Viridiplantae; Streptophyta; Magnoliopsida; Poales; Poaceae.
AUGGCUGACAUCAUGGCUCUCCUCGGGGAUCUUCUAUGGAGGAUCUUCCUUCGCCCAACACCUAUAUACCCGCAGCAGACCGUAUCCUGGCUGGCCCCAUAUGCGAGAUCUGCUCGCCGGGGUAAUGCUGAUACUUUGUUGGCGUGGGAGAGGAAGACGAAGAUCGACUGUGCUCAUAAAACGAGAGGGGACCGCUUGCUAGAUCCCCCUCCUCAUCCUCGACAUUCUUGCCACGCGGUAACGCUGAUCCUGUCGAGAUGUAUACAUGUGGAGGAAAUAGAGUCUACCCGUGCGGGUCGUUUGAUCGGAGACCAUUGGUCGACAUCGAUCGCCGUGGACGGCCGAGUUUUACGUUUGAUAUUUCCAUCUCUACGGGAGAAAAAAAUGAGAGGAAGUGAUCAAAUGGUGAACCCCCGUUAUGCUUGCGUUGAAAUUAUCCACGCGGACAGGCGGGCCGUGUGCGCGUCUCCUCCCUUGGCCCACCUGUCGGUGCCACCGGGACGCCUUUUUCUAUCCGCCCCCCUCCCUCCCUCCAGCCGCACCCCUCCACUCUUCUCCAUUCUUCUCCACUCUUCCCCUCGCCGCCGCCGCCGCUGCCAUUGCAGCUGUGCAGUUCGGACGCACGCUUGCCCAGCCCCUUCCCCUCGGCGCCCCCGAGCUACCCAACCACGACCACCUGAUCUACGCACCCGGCGGCCGGAUCCGGUCGGUCUUGAAGUCGCCCGGCUGUGGGAGGUUGCGUCGUGCCAUGGACUGGCCGGGCACCGGGCCGGAAGGCCCUGGCAAGGCCGCAUGCAGGUAGUGGCUCCUCCUCUAGCCGCUCGGAUCUACACCGUCGGUGGUCCACCGGGCUCGGUGCUAGCCCAAAAGCUCAUCGGCGGACCGUUGCCACUCAUUAAGUGCGACCACUGCCCAAAGAAGGUCGUGCGCCAUGUGUCUACAACGCCGGAACAUCCCGGAUGGGUGUUCAUCAAGUGCUUAAACGAUCGGUCACGCCUCUUUGCCCAUCUCCUAGCGCUUGCCAUCGACGGUGGCGGUGGUCCAGAUCCGGCGCCAACCUCCGGGACUACGUCCACUAUAGGGGUUCCCUGCCUCCUCCAGGUUGACCCGCUCCACCACCCAGGCGCCCCCGGCGUCGUGCUCCACAUCGUCGAGUGGGAUCCGGCCGUCGCCACCGCCACGGUCUCCACCUCUCCAGGGGCAGCGGGCGCCCCUCCCCCCUCCCCCGACGGGUUCGUGACCGGGCUGAACACCCACGGCACGGACGUGAAGACGCAGCCCGACGGCCGCACACCAAUGCUCUUCUUCCUCCUCGGACGGUGA